AAACUGCGAUAUGCAUCGAACAGCUAUCAACAAUCGAUAUAGUCGGGGAUUUCUGAAUGGAGUAACCCACUAUGAGUCAUGUCAUAGUAUAUACAUCUGAAUCUAUAGGAUGUAAUAAGGUAACCGCUUGAAUUGAACCAUCUUAGUAGGGCGAGGAAAAGACAUCAACAGAGAUUUCCUUAGUAGCGGCGAGCGAAAGGGAAAGAGCCUAAACCGAUUUAUUUUUAUUAUUAACUGUAGGUUUAAUAUUUACAGUUAAUAAUUUUUUGUCAUUUAAAAAUAUAACGGGGUUGUAAGAACAAACCAGUUUAACUUGUGGGUAGAUUCUACUUACAAGUUAGACUUAUCUUUAUGACAAAUGGAGAUUGAAGAGUUACAAAUCUAAAGUAAAGAAGAAGGAACCUGGAAAGGACCACCAUAGAGCGUGAUAGUCGCGUAUUUUAAUUAUUUUAGACUUUUCGGUUUGUUUCUUAAGUAGGACGGGACACGUGAAACCCUGUCUGAAUCCGGGAAGACCACUUUCCAAGGCUAAAUACAUUUUGUGAUCGAUAGUGAACAAGUACCGUGAGGGAAAGGUGAAAAGAACCCUUGUUAAGGGAGUGAAAUAGAAUCUGAAAUUGUGUGCCUACAAAGAGUCGGAGCUAGAUUUAUCUAGUGACGGCGUGCUUUUUGCUUAACGAUCCAGCGAGUUAAUUUAUCGGGCAAGGUUAUGUGAUGAUAUCAAGUAGCCGAAGCGAAAGCGAGUUGUAAAAGGCGAUUUAGUCCGAUGGAUUAGACCAGAAACGAGAUGAGCUUACCAUGAGCAGGCUGAAGUUUGUCGAAAGACAAAUGGAGGGCCGCACCAGUUGGAGUUUCAAAUCCUUUGGAUGACUUGUGGUAAGAGGAGAAAUUCCAAUCGAAUCUCGAGAUAGCUGGUUCUCUCCGAAAUAACUUUAGGGUUAGCGUUCGAUAAAUAGAGUAUUGUGAGGUAAAGCACUGAAUGAGGUUGGGGCUGUUUGACGGUACCCGCUUUAAUCAAACUAAGAAUUCCGAUACUUGUUCUCGAGCAGUUAGAACGCGGGUGCUAAGAUCCGUGCUCAAAAGGGAAACAGCCCAGACCGUCAGCUAAGGUCCCCAAAUCUAUGCUCAGUGGGAAACGAUGUGUAUUUGCAUAAACAACCAGGAUGUUGGCUUAGAAGCAGCCAUUCAUUUAAAGAGUGCGUAACAGCUCACUGGUCUAAGGCAGAUAUGCGCGGAAAAUAUAACGGGGCUUAAGCAUAGUACCGAAGCUACGGAAUACAUUAAUUGUAUUGGUAGGAGAGCGUUCUUAUCAGCGCUGAAGUCAAAUUGUAAGAUUUGGUGGAGCGGUAAGAAGUGAGAAUGCUGGAACGAGUAAACCAUAAGAUAGGUGAAAAUCCUAUCCACCGAAAGAGCAAGGUUUCCUACGCAACGAUUUUCGACGUAGGGUUAGUCGGUCCUAAGCCGAGGCCAAUGGCGUAGGCGAUGGACAACAGGUUAAUAUUCCUGUACUAGUAUUAUUGUUCUAGAUAGAUGACGCAUUGGGAUAGUAGUAGCGGUCUGGUGAUUAUGACCGUCUAAGUGUAAUAAGAGGCACGAGUGAAAUGUCUGGUAACAGAUAAAUUACUAUGAGUUCUAGUGACUGGAAAAGCCUAUCUAGGUAUAGAUAAUGCUAUCCGUACCGCAAACCAACACAGGUGCUCAGGUCGAGUAGACCAAGGUGUACGAGAGAACCCUUGUUAAGGAACUCGGCAAAAUAGCGGCCGUAACUUCGGGAGAAGGCCCGCCUAGAGUUAAUUCUUUAGGCCACAGCAAAAGAGUCCAAGCAACUGUUUACCAAAAACACAGGUCUCUGCUAAAGCGAAAGCUGAUGUAUAGGGACUGACGCCUGCCCAGUGCUGGAAGGUUAACAGGAGAUGUGAUUUAGCAUCGAAUCGAAGCCCCAGUGAACGGCGGCCCUAACUAUAAGGGUCCUAAGGUAGCGAAAUUCCUUGUCUGGUAAGUUCAGACCCGCACGAAUGGCGUAAUGAUUUGGACACUGUCUCAACAAGGGACUCGGUGAAAAUGCAGUAGCGGUGAAGAUGCCGUUUUCCCGCACCAAGACGGUAAGACCCCGUGAAGCUUUACUACAACUUGGCAUUGUUUUUGAUCUAUUUAUGUGUAGUAUAGGAGGAAGACAUUGAAGCAAACACGCUAGUGAUUGUGGAGUCAGCAAGUGAAAUACCUCCCUUAAAUAUAUUAAAGACUUAAUCUAUAGCCGUUAUCCGGCAUGGAGACAGUGUCUGGUGGGUAGUUUAACUGGGGCGGUUGCCUCCCAAAUAGUAACGGAGGCGUUCAAAGGUUGGCUAGCUACGGAUGGAAAUCGUAGCGAUAGUGUAAACGCAGAUGCCAGCUUGACUGUGAGGCCUACAAGCCAAGCAGGUACGAAAGUAGGAGUUAGUGACCCACUCAAUCUGAAAGUGGAAUCGUGAGAGCUCAACGGAUAAAAGUUACUCCGGGGAUAACAGGCUUAUGGCGCCCAAUAGUCCACAUAGACGGCGCCGUUUGGCACCUCGAUGUCGGCUCGUCCUAUCCUGGGGCUGUAGCAGGUCCCAAGGGUUUGGCUGUUCGCCAAUUAAAGCGGUACGCGAGCUGGGUUCAG
RNAcentral lists this ribosomal RNA (2638 nucleotides) under activated sludge metagenome. RNAcentral's name for it is "bacterial LSU rRNA". It matches the Rfam family "Bacterial large subunit ribosomal RNA", at positions 63 to 2614 of the family's 2925-position model. The record is from RNAcentral.